RNAcentral lists this ribosomal RNA (455 nucleotides) under Helicobacter pylori. RNAcentral's name for it is "bacterial SSU rRNA". It matches the Rfam family "Bacterial small subunit ribosomal RNA", at positions 284 to 755 of the family's 1533-position model. The record is from RNAcentral. Lineage: Bacteria; Pseudomonadati; Campylobacterota; Epsilonproteobacteria; Campylobacterales; Helicobacteraceae.
AAUCCGGCCUGUCUCGGUGAACGGACACACUGGAACUGAGACACGGUCCAGACUCCUACGGGAGGCAGCAGUAGGGAAUAUUGCUCAAUGGGGGAAACCCUGAAGCAGCAACGCCGCGUGGAGGAUGAAGGUUUUAGGAUUGUAAACUCCUUUUGUUAGAGAAGAUAAUGACGGUAUCUAACGAAUAAGCACCGGCUAACUCCGUGCCAGCAGCCGCGGUAAUACGGAGGGUGCAAGCGUUACUCGGAAUCACUGGGCGUAAAGAGCGCGUAGGCGGGAUAGUCAGUCAGGUGUGAAAUCCUAUGGCUUAACCAUAGAACUGCAUUUGAAACUACUAUUCUAGAGUGUGGGAGAGGUAGGUGGAAUUCUUGGUGUAGGGGUAAAAUCCGUAGAGAUCAAGAGGAAUACUCAUUGCGAAGGCGACCUGCUGGAACAUUACUGACGCUGAUUGCCUU